ACUAGAACAAGGUGAUUAAUCAAUAGUAUCUGUUUACAAGCUUAUUCAAAUCAAAGUUGCCUAGUAGAAUUCAUCAUUUCUAAAACAGAAAUGCAUCAAGAGUCUCAGAAAAUAAAAAAGGCCCAUUUGCCAAUCAUAUACAGUAAAUAUUCCCUUUUAUUUCUCCAAGCAUACAGAGUAACAUUCAACAAAUAUUCCCACCACAAUUAACCCUAAGCCCUUUUAUAUCAAGUUACUCUCGUGAAUUUAUCUAAAGCCAUCAAGCAAUCUCAGUAUCUCCUCCCCAUAUUUUUUCCUCCUUUAGUUUCAGCUAUGAAUUAUAUUAGCACAGUAAAAGGAUUAAGCACCGACCUUGAUCAGUUGAUAAAUGGAUAA
RNAcentral lists this unclassified non-coding RNA (375 nucleotides) under Hevea brasiliensis (rubber tree). The record is from RNAcentral. Lineage: Eukaryota; Viridiplantae; Streptophyta; Magnoliopsida; Malpighiales; Euphorbiaceae.